CGAACCACCUCGCUGGCGUUGGCGGGUGGAUAAGGCUCCACCCACGCCGCUGAGGGGAUAAGUCUCCCCCUCAGCCUCGUCCUCAUCAAGCCCCGAUAUUUCGCCACUCUCUCGCCUCCUCACUUGUCCUCUCUGUUGAGGGGGAGAAGCAGCCGAGCCCCCCGUCGCCGCCCGCCGUCGCCCACCGCGGUGACCGCCUCCCACGUGCUCCUCUGAUUGGUUCAACACCUCCGCCGUCUUCCGCUGCUACCUCUAUGUCGACGCGCGCGAGCUGGGAGGCGCUGCAGCCCCGGAUCCCCGUGGUCUUCCACCUCGGGUAAUGCCGCCCUCGCCAUCGAAUUCCGGCAUCUCCGAGCCUCCCCCGAGCCCACUUCGCGCAUCUGCAGGAGCGAUAUGGUGGAUCCCUGGAGUCAGAUGCCAUCGCCGACGGAUGCUACUACGUGGAGACCGCCGACGACCAGGAGUAGUUAGGAGGUCCCAGGCAGGAGGCCUUGCCUCUUCGAUCGUUGCAUCGUUUGUGCUAGCCUUCUUAAGGCAGAACUUGUUUAACUUAUGUCUGUACUCAGAUAUUGUUGCUCCCGCUGACUCGCUUAUGUAUCGAGCUACGUAUUCGAGCCCUCGAGGCCCCUGGCUUGUAAUAUGAAGCUUGUAUGACUUUCAUUUGUGUUUA
This is a non-coding RNA of Aegilops tauschii subsp. strangulata, 670 nucleotides long. The record is from RefSeq and is a predicted model, not a curated record. NCBI's taxonomy places the organism in Eukaryota, Viridiplantae, Streptophyta, Magnoliopsida, Poales, Poaceae.